CUCGGUUACACCUGCUCUCAUUGUCGACGUCUUCUCACAACCAGUAGACAAAACCUAUUUUCCUUUCUACGCAUCUCAAUAUAGGCGGAUCUAGGAUACGUCGUAUGUGAUUUACUGCAUGUAUCAAAAUAUGCAGUAACGUCUUUUUUUUUUCGAACGGUUUGCUGCCAUAGUAGUUUAUGUUACCAAAAUCGAUCCGGAAAAGUGAAGUGAAAUAAAAACUGCAUGUAAGGAUAUCUUCAUCGUAACCCCAUCUUGUGUGAUAUGGUGGAGAUGGAGCUUAAUGGUCAACUAGUGAUCUUGCGCAAAGAGGGCCACGAGAAGUUUUUCCGCUUACCGUAAUGCCAGGUCUCGAAUAACCCGUGCACCUACUGACGACGGGUAAACGGACUUAAUCGGACUUAAGCCUCUAUAACUAUCAUGGUUUUGCGUGACUGUGGUAUAAAUAAUUAUUCAUGGUAAAUUCUAAUCCGUGACUAUGAUGAUCCGCAAUGCAGUGCAAAUAUCGAAACCAUUGUUGUGUCAGAACGAGGCCUUAUUCCAGUAAAAUCGUUAAGAUCUCCUUCAAGAACAACCACGUAGAACACGUCGUUGCCAGCUGUGACAUGUGAUUCAACGAAUCACGUUUGGCAUAUAUACAUAUAAACACAUAUCUACUUAAGUAGCUUCCAGGUUGUACCCGGGGGCCACUUCAGGAUAUUUCCCCUAAAUGAACAUAGACGGCAUGCUAUAAAAAAUAUUGUUAAGUUUAAUAGCAUUAGACUUGAAAGCCAACGUUCCCCUGCUUGAGAAAAGAGAGUGAGCUAGAUAGCGUCUGUUCCAUAUGGCAUCACCUUCUUUUAUGUAGAAAAAAUAUAAGUGUGUAUGUCCAUUGUAUCCCAUCUAUAGAGACUCUAACGAUAUAUGCGAUUUUUAAGCUUAGGUUUGACUUCCGGAGGAAGCUUUACGAUGAAAAAGACAUGUCUAAAGAACAUGAGGUUUACGGUAAA
Long non-coding RNA from Varroa destructor (honeybee mite), 989 nucleotides. RefSeq lists it as uncharacterized. The record is from RefSeq and is a predicted model, not a curated record. Lineage: Eukaryota; Metazoa; Arthropoda; Arachnida; Mesostigmata; Varroidae.